UAAGGUCCCUUCCAACCCAAACCAGUCUGGAUUCUGUGAUCUCUGAACAAAGAUCUAUUCAGAUGAAAGAAAAUUGUGAGCAAGGCCAAGACUGGAUGAGUUUAAAAACUGAUCCUUAAAGACAGCACCUUGGAAACUCCAUUUGUACCCCCAAGUUGAUGCACACCAGUGUUUUGUGUGAAGAGUGAAUGAGCCCUUCCCCUUUUACUGAUCACUUCAAUCCCUUUUGGCUUUCACUUUUUGCCCGAAGAAAAUCUCCAAGACCAACCACACACAGGCUGACACCAUUCACAAACUUUCAUCUUUCCCAGCAGCAGAAGGAAACAGAAACCUGAGCUUCCUUUACAAAGCUGUUUUAAGAAGUUUUGUUUUGUUUUGUUUUGUUUUUAAUCUUUCUGCCUUAUCAAGGUUUAUAAAUAGGGCCACAAUAUCAAGGAUUUUUUUUCUUUUCAUAAAGGAAACAUCUGACUGUUGCUCUGCAUGUCCUUGCAGAGCUCUGUCAGUGCUGACUGCACAUUGUCUUGCCCAGAAGGUUGUAAAGUUUGGAGGUCUGCCUUCGUUUUCAAGGUGUGCUUUUCUGGAAUUCCUGUGCUCAAAACAACCUCAAAGCAGCCCAAAGAUGUCCAGACUGCAGAGAGACACUCAGCCCAGUAACCCAAUCAUCUGGUGCCUCUGGGGACAUCGUCCUGUGGACCUACAAGGUCAGGGUUUGGAGAGCACAGGUCCCAGUCCUGCAGCUGGAAAAGCAGCCAGAAGUCAGAGCAGUCCCAUUAAUGUCAAUAUAUAUAUAUAUAUAUAUCAGCUUAGGUAAGUCUGAGCCUGUGAGAUUGAUGCCAUCUAUUUUUAUUUGGGCUUGUUUCCCUCGUGUCUCCAUUUCAUUUAUUUUUCACAAAGUGCUUCCUCUACCUGUUUGUCUGAGAUCUCCCAUUUCUGCUCACUCCAAUUAUUUGUGUGCAUUUCUUUUCCUGCCUUAGUUCUGUCCUCUCUGGUUUUGAUCUCUUGCAAGAAUGUACACUUCUAUUCCUCUCCUAUCUGGGAAAAAAAACAGUGCCUUGGAGC
Myiozetetes cayanensis is the source of this 1059-nucleotide long non-coding RNA. RefSeq lists it as uncharacterized. The record is from RefSeq and is a predicted model, not a curated record. The transcript has 3 exons. NCBI's taxonomy places the organism in Eukaryota, Metazoa, Chordata, Aves, Passeriformes, Tyrannidae.